RNAcentral lists this ribosomal RNA (467 nucleotides) under uncultured bacterium. Its description in RNAcentral is "partial 16S ribosomal RNA". It matches the Rfam family "Bacterial small subunit ribosomal RNA", at positions 28 to 507 of the family's 1533-position model. The record is from RNAcentral.
GACGAACGCUGGCGGCGUGCUAACACAUGCCAGUCGCACGGAAAGGCCCUGCUUUUGUGGGGUGCUCGAGUGGCGAACGGGUGAGUAACACGUGAGUAACCUGCCCUUGACUUUGGGAUAACUUCAGGAAACUGGGGCUAAUACCGGAUAGGAGCUCCUGCUGCAUGGUGGGGGUUGGAAAGUUUCGGCGGUUGGGGAUGGACUCGCGGCUUAUCAGCUUGUUGGUGGGGUAGUGGCUUACCAAGGCUUUGACGGGUAGCCGGCCUGAGAGGGUGACCGGCCACAUUGGGACUGAGAUACGGCCCAGACUCCUACGGGAGGCAGCAGUGGGGAAUAUUGCACAAUGGGCGGAAGCCUGAUGCAGCAACGCCGCGUGCGGGAUGACGGCCUUCGGGUUGUAAACCGCUUUCGCCUGUGACGAAGCGUGAGUGACGGUAAUGGGUAAAGAAGCACCGGCUAACUACGUG